This 316-nucleotide long non-coding RNA is filed under the name Felis catus (domestic cat). RNAcentral describes it as "lncRNA (ENSFCAG00000044033.2)". The record is from RNAcentral. Lineage: Eukaryota; Metazoa; Chordata; Mammalia; Carnivora; Felidae.
UGCCAAGCAAAUGGGUGCCACAGAUUAACUUGAUUCCUUCAUAAGGACAAAAUUCUCAUAGAUGAGCAGGAAUCAGGGACAGAGUGUACGUCUUCAUUUUUUCAUAGGAAAAGAAUGAGAUCUCGUCGGGAAGAAGAAGAGAAAACACUUGGUCAAAGAUGUAACAGCCAAUGUGGUUGAGAAAGGAUAUCUGAUAAUAGAGAAGAAAAGAAAUCAAGAAAAUGAAGCUACCAGCACAAAAUCUGAGCUAAAAGGGGGAAACAGAACAUAAACUGAUGAGACAAACGCACGGAACCUGCAAGAACUGUAAAUGAGA